AUCGCUUCUCGGCCUUUUGGCUAAGAUCAAGUGUAGUAUCUGUUCUUAUCAGUUUAAUAUCUGAUACGUCCCCUACCCGGGGACCAUAUAUUAAAUUGAUUUUUGGAGCAGGGAGAUGGAAUAGGGGCUUGCUCCGUCCACUCCACGCAUCGACCCGGUAUUGCAGUACCUCCGGGAACGGUGCACCCCCC
Small nuclear RNA from Pygocentrus nattereri (red-bellied piranha), 191 nucleotides. Its record names the gene U2. It matches the Rfam family "U2 spliceosomal RNA". From Rfam's summary of the family: U2 is a small nuclear RNA (snRNA) component of the spliceosome (involved in pre-mRNA splicing). Lineage: Eukaryota; Metazoa; Chordata; Actinopteri; Characiformes; Serrasalmidae. The record is from Ensembl.